CUUUUGAGACGGGUUUCACUAUAUUGCCCAGGCUAGUCUUGAACUCCUGGUCACCAAUGAUCCACCCACCUCAGCCUCCCAAAGUGCGGGGAUGACAGGCAUGAGUCACUGCACCUGGCCCACAUCAGGUCUCUCUGAGCUGUCUUGUCCCUGGCCACAGAGGAGCCUCACCUGCUUGGUGAAGACAAUGCGCCCAUCCAGAAAGGGAGGCACCAGAUUGUGCACCAUCAGAUGCACCUUGGCUGCAUUGUCCUCUUCAAAAUCCUCGUCCACCUCCAGCCGAUGGACCACCCCACUGGUGAGCAUGCGGUUUGUCUCCCAGCGCUCGUUAUCCUGUGAGGACACAAUGGGAACCAUACUCAAAUUUCCACCCCAAAGGUCGUCCUGAAAGGUUACGAGGUAUCGACACAUCAAGUCCUGACAGAAGGCCACUGGUGGCUGCAAAGAUGUCACAGGCCUCUACCCACAGCUCCAAAGACAGAAGAGGAACUGAUCCCAAAUCACCUGCAGGACUUUGUUCUAAGAAGCAGCACCUUUCAUCUAAAUCAGAACCUCUAGAUGGACACAUGAAUGGUAAGCACCCCUAGCCCACAUCAGAGACACAAAGAACACAGACCACAGAGGCAGGUCCCAAUGCACCUGCUCCCAUCAACAGUACCUCCCCUCAAGGAAGUACUGCAAAAGAGAGAAGUAUGAGCCAGGGCUGCCCUUAAGCUACUAAAAGGUUCAUCACCCACUCCUCUUCCACCUCCAGAGGAUCUGGUCCUCUCGGCAAUCAGGGCACAAGCUGUGCUGCCCUCACUUGGGCAUAACCUGCUGCUUCCCCACGUGCUCUACCGCCAGCUCUGAAUCUGCUCCAACUUCUGCAGGCUGCCUCACCUCAUUGAUCUGUCUCCGCUGAGCUGAAAUGCGCUUCUGCUUCUGUUUAUGCAGGUGCUGCUCCCGCCUCCUCACAUAGUCCUCAGAGGAGUAGGCCAGUGGGUUGUGGAACUCAUCAUAGCCCUCGUCCAUCAUGUACCAAUCCCGAUCGGCUUGCUGCAGGGCAGGAGGUGAAGCAAGGGAGUGAGGGACAGAUCAAGUUUAUGCACGAGACAUGGCCAACAGAGGAGGGGACGUGUGGUAGGAAGUCACUACUGCAGUGGAGCUACCCUUGUGAGGGGUGCUGGAGAGGCCACCCUGCAGCCACGUGCUGUCUGGAGGAGAACCACAGUGGGAGACUACACAGGACUGGAGGGCAGCCCAUCACAACAGCACUUCUUAGAGUUACCACAUGGUGGCACCAACACAUAACAGAAAAGUUAGGUCAGCCUACUGCAGUGAGUGACAGGGUUCACCCUGCCGCCUAUGCCUCUGCAAAGAGACUCCAGGGCAUCGGGGCUGAACAGGGCUCAGGUGCACCCUCAUCAAAGCCCAGUCCUGCUAGAGGGUCACCCAUUUACAGACGGCCACCAGCCUUGAUCAGCCCCUCAGAGGUAUAAAGUUUUACCCUCUGGUCAUCCUCCCACUGCUGCCGCUCCUCCUCCGUGUCAAAUGAAAUUCCUUCUUCGCCUUCCUCGCGUCUUCCUGGAGGAGCACAGGGAGCAGGUCAGUCCACGCCCUGGCCUAUCCCCAGAGGCCCCGGACAGAUCUGCAGGGCCACGCAGCUCCAGAAGGGCAGCCCCUGCUCAUCCUCGCUAGGGCGAGCAAGCCUGCUCUUCUGCCUCCUGCCCCCCAGGCCUCACCUCGACCUCUGGACAGACGUGGGGUGGACCCCAAGUGUCUUCUGUCAUCGGCCCACUCAUUGUAUUUGUAGGAGGGAGUUGGCAGAGGCGUGUCAUCCGAGUACUUGCCCCUCACAGACCUGGGAACAGCAGCACCAGCAUCACAAAACUGUCACUGAGCUAAGCCACGUCCUACUGGCCGCCAUCUGCUCUCCCUGCCGAGGCUCCUUACCGCCACCCAGCGAAACUGGGCUGCUCUGCCCGGAACAUCACCUGUCUCGAUCUCGAGUGGACAGCCGAUGGCUCCGCUCAGAAUCCCGAUAUGAAGGCGUCGGGGAGGGCGAUUCCCACUGGGAGCGCCUUGAGGAGCCAUAGCCACUGUCCUCUUCCUCCCAGGUAGACCUCGAAGGGGUGGCUGCAUCUGGGUUCACAGAAGACACAUCCACAGGAAACAUCUCACUUAACCACGACAUGGCUCUAGAACCAGUUGCCAAAAGAACCAUAUCCACCCCAAGUGCAGAGCCGUGCCCACCUGACUCAGAACCAACUAUCCCAAGAUGUUCAUGGUGGAAUCGGGAAUUCUGACUCAAUGCCUCAGCAAUCUCCCUGAAGACAAGAGUCACUCACUCUGCGUUUUAUACACUGGAAUCCUCACAAGCCACCAAAACAGUGAGUCUACCUUUAGGUCGAUGUCGUGGGCUCUCAGGCUCAUUUCUUCUGCUGCUACGCUCUGACCCUCCAUCUCGCUCCGAUCUGCUGCUGUGCCUACUUCUAUCCCGGUCAUCUAUGAAGAGUCACACAAAGCUUAAAAACAUGCACCCCAUCCUAAGGUACACCCAUCUUCACCCUAGAGAAAGGACAUAGGCUGCCCACUCACUCACAGGUGCAACCUGCACUGCUCGAAUGUGAUCCGUAGACUCCUGAAACUCACCUAUGCCCAUUCUCCCAAGGGGGAAAAAUAGUUACUGCCUAGAAAGUUUCACACCCACAGUAACAGUUAUUUUCUAGCAAAAAUUCAAAAAAUAAUAGUACAAGUUUACAGUAAAUCUUUUUUUUUAAUAGUUAUAAUUCUAUCAGCUAUAAAACUUAAUACUGAGCAAAGACAGCAUUGGAUUUUUUUUGUCUAGCUUUGUUCCAUAGCACUGUCCUUUCUCUAUCACCAAUACUAUUAGAAACGCUGGUCUCUUGUACAUAUUUACCCAUUAUCUCCUUUAUCAUAAUAAAACAAAGACCACACACUCAA
This is a non-coding RNA of Macaca mulatta (Rhesus monkey), 2943 nucleotides long. Lineage: Eukaryota; Metazoa; Chordata; Mammalia; Primates; Cercopithecidae. The record is from RefSeq and is a predicted model, not a curated record.